This 490-nucleotide ribosomal RNA is filed under the name uncultured bacterium. Its description in RNAcentral is "partial 16S ribosomal RNA". It matches the Rfam family "Bacterial small subunit ribosomal RNA", at positions 28 to 507 of the family's 1533-position model. The record is from RNAcentral.
GAUGAACGCUAGCGAUAGGCUUAACACAUGCAAGUCGAGGGGCAGCAUGGUCUUAGCUUGCUAAGACUGAUGGCGACCGGCGCACGGGUGCGUAACGCGUAUGCAACUUGCCUCACAGAGGGGGAUAACCCGUCGAAAGACGGACUAAUACCGCGUACACUUGGGAUAUGGCAUCCUGACCCAAGGAAAUGAAAUUCGCUGUGAGAUAGGCAUGCGUCCCAUUAGCUAGUUGGUGAGGUAACGGCUCACCAAGGCGACGAUGGGUAGGGGAACUGAGAGGUUGAACCCCCACACUGGUACUGAGACACGGACCAGACUCCUACGGGAGGCAGCAGUGAGGAAUAUUGGUCAAUGGGCGAGAGCCUGAACCAGCCAAGUCGCGUGAAGGAUGACUGUCUUAUGGAUUGUAAACUUCUUUUAUACGGGAAUAACAAGAGCCACGUGUGGCUCCCUGCAUGUACCGUAUGAAUAAGCAUCGGCUAACUCCGUG